GGGGAUAUAGCUCAGUGGUAGAGCAUGCACGUAGCAUGCAUAAGGCUCUGGGUUCAAUUCCCAGUGCCCCA
This 71-nucleotide transfer RNA is filed under the name Marmota monax (woodchuck). It matches the Rfam family "tRNA". Rfam says of the family: Transfer RNA (tRNA) molecules are approximately 80 nucleotides in length. Their secondary structure includes four short double-helical elements and three loops (D, anti-codon, and T loops). Lineage: Eukaryota; Metazoa; Chordata; Mammalia; Rodentia; Sciuridae. The record is from Rfam by way of RNAcentral.